AACAACUAAGUAGAGUAAGGUAGUGUAGGUAGGAACUUUAAACGUAUACCUUAUUCUUUAAAAAAUAUAAAGGAAUUGAGGAAAUAAAGUGUAACUGCGCAUAAACACAAUACAAAUCCUUUCUCUCCUUGAUUCGUCAUGGUCCGCAAAUGUUUCGCACAUUAGGAAAAAACCUUGGACCCACAACGGGUAUUGGAUAAAUUUAGGAAGAAUGUCCAAGCAACAGGUUACACUCUGUCAUAAUCCGACAAAUACGCGAAUGGGAUUUACAAACUGUUGUCCUCAUUUGCAUACGACUCCGAGAAAUUUCAGAGCAUGCGCGCAGAUUUAAUACAGAUGGGAAAUAUUUAAUUUCAUUUAAUAUGAUUUAUAAAAUAUAAAACAAGCCCGUACUGACCUUUUUCGGAUUUGAGUAGAUACGCUUUAUGUUUCCUUUCAGCAUCUUCAUAUCUGUUUUUCCACUUUUCGACGUAAAUCGAGAGAGCGAUGUUAGCCUCCUUGGAGUUGUGGUGCGCGUCGGGCGGCGUCAUCCUGGCGGCAGUGGCUCGCGGUAUCCUCGUCGCCGCGCCGCUGGGACAGAGCGAGACAGCGUUUCUGCUGCCGCCUUGACACUGAUUGUUGGUCGACGCGAUCGCAAACACAUUAUCACCGUUCCUUUUGAUCAUUUUUGCAUUCAAUUUUUAUUGCACGCGCGCGUCGAACGCUCGCAUCCUCGUAUGCAACGUACGCGACACGUGUUUAGAUCAACAGGCUGGUGCGUCCGUAUAAGUGUUUAAUGUUUUAAAAAUAUUACCUAUACUCUUUGUUCGCAACGUUAAGGAAAAUUCUAUCAGUAAUGGUUGAUCACGUAAUGUCGCGCGUGUUUAUUCAAUAACGUUCGAUAAUGUCACUCGCGUUCCUGAAAUCAAUCAUAACGUAAUAUUUUAGAAAAAAAAUCGCGUAAAAACACGAUGAUCAUGUUUGAGUGUUGUAAGGGUACUGAGUUAGUAGUCACUGAUGUAGAAACACGUUCGUGAUAUGAUAAUGAGUCUUCGUCAUUGUGAGUCAUACGGAUUGUUUACGCAUUUUGUUUAUGUUCGAUGUUGUCUCAUCAAACCUCAAAAUCGUUCGAUACUUUCGUAGAAUUCAUAUAGUUUUUACAACGAAGUAGUUAGUUCGAAAUCAAUUUGACCGUGAAAUUCAAUUGUCUCUUCUGUAUUUUAUCGAUUCUGUAGGACUUUUAGAUUUCAUUAGAGCAUGCAUUAUUUUGUUCUUUUGCUUGAAAUAAAUCUUAGAAAUUAGAAUAAUUUUAAAACAAAUUUAUGUAAAAAGCUACGUUUAUAAAAUACGUUUUGAUUGAAUGAAAACGUUAAAAUUGUAAUAUUAAGCAGGUAUAAUUUCUUAAAAAAUGUGUAUUAAAAAAAGGAAACAAUUCAAAUACAUACUAAAGAUACGA
Long non-coding RNA from Bombyx mori (domestic silkworm), 1435 nucleotides. RefSeq lists it as uncharacterized. The transcript has 2 exons. The record is from RefSeq and is a predicted model, not a curated record. NCBI's taxonomy places the organism in Eukaryota, Metazoa, Arthropoda, Insecta, Lepidoptera, Bombycidae.